CGCAACAGGAAGACAAAUGUUUAACCCCUAGUUUACUUUGUUUCGCACCAAUACAAAGUGAAAAGUAAUCAGACUUUUUUUUGUCUAUUUGAAAAAUUGAAACAGUGCGUUUUUUAUAAGAUGAUGUUUAAGCUCUUUGUACUGUGAUGAUAGCUAACAUAGAUAGACUUUUAUGUCAAAGACUAUGGUUUUACAAGUUCUUCAAGGAACAAAGAUAACAUUGAGGUCGGUAUGCAGUGAAAUUAUAUGGGGACAAUUUGAAAUUACCCCAAGGAAUUGGACUAGAUAUGAGAUGUCACCAGAAUAAUUUAUCCUGUUGAUUACUUUAGCAGCUCAGAUGCUGCUGGAGUACAUUGACGCCUGCAUAUAUCUUUGAGGAGGAUGUUAAGCAUUUCCAUUCAGUGUGUACUCCAACAGAUAUGUUGGUUAUUCUUUUACCAUAUAAACUGUACAGGGUUCUUCCCCAGCUCCUGCCGUAAGUUUCCUUGGUCAUUCUGAUGAGAAUUCUGGUACUGAAUUUUUUUUUCUUUUUUAAACAAACGUCUUGCUAGAAGCAUUCCUGUGGUUUACCUAAUGUUGUCUGUUAUAAGUGUGACAUUAUACAUUACUCAAAUAUUAGCCGUAAUCUUAGAUUAGUGAUGAUGAAAUGUUAGUGUUUAUUUGUUUGGCAUCCAGCAACCUAAAGAGGGAAGUGAAUGCUUGCAUCAACCCAAAGGAUGAAUUUUGUAAACUUUUUCUUUUACUGAAAAAUAUUAUCUUCGUAUA
Long non-coding RNA from Mangifera indica (mango), 765 nucleotides. RefSeq lists it as uncharacterized. The transcript is spliced from 2 exons. NCBI's taxonomy places the organism in Eukaryota, Viridiplantae, Streptophyta, Magnoliopsida, Sapindales, Anacardiaceae. The record is from RefSeq and is a predicted model, not a curated record.